Ipomoea nil (Japanese morning glory) is the source of this 94-nucleotide transfer RNA. It matches the Rfam family "tRNA". Rfam says of the family: Transfer RNA (tRNA) molecules are approximately 80 nucleotides in length. Their secondary structure includes four short double-helical elements and three loops (D, anti-codon, and T loops). Further hydrogen bonds mediate the characteristic L-shaped molecular structure. tRNAs have two regions of fundamental functional importance: the anti-codon, which is responsible for specific mRNA codon recognition, and the 3' end, to which the tRNAs corresponding amino acid is attached (by aminoacyl-tRNA synthetases). tRNAs cope with the degeneracy of the genetic code in two manners: having more than one tRNA (with a specific anti-codon) for a particular amino acid; and 'wobble' base-pairing, i.e. permitting non-standard base-pairing at the 3rd anti-codon position. The record is from Rfam. Lineage: Eukaryota; Viridiplantae; Streptophyta; Magnoliopsida; Solanales; Convolvulaceae.
CUGACCUUAGCUCAGUUGGUAGAGUGGUGGACUGUAGUUGGACUAAUCUUAAUUGGAAAUCCUUAGGUCGCUGGUUUGAUUCCGGCAGGUUGGA